This 253-nucleotide ribosomal RNA is filed under the name uncultured bacterium. Its description in RNAcentral is "partial 16S ribosomal RNA". It matches the Rfam family "Bacterial small subunit ribosomal RNA", at positions 524 to 776 of the family's 1533-position model. The record is from RNAcentral.
UACGUAGGGGGCAAGCGUUGUCCGGAAUCAUUGGGCGUAAAGAGCGUGUAGGCGGCUCGAUAAGUCUGCUGUGAAAGUCCAGGGCUCAACCCUGGAAGGCCGGUGGAAACUGGCGGGCUAGGGUCCGGAAGAGGCGAGUGGAAUUCCCGGUGUAGCGGUGAAAUGCGCAGAUAUCGGGAGGAACACCAAUGGCGAAGGCAGCUCGCUGGGACGGUACUGACGCUGAGACGCGAAAGCGUGGGGAGCAAACAGG